Molecule: long non-coding RNA, 159 nt
Organism: Dermochelys coriacea (leatherback sea turtle)
Lineage: Eukaryota; Metazoa; Chordata; Testudines; Dermochelyidae
Exons: 4
Source: RefSeq, a predicted model, not a curated record
GUUCUCCUGGUGUUCUCUGGACUGGUGAUCUGCUAGGUCACUCCAACCCUCGACUCUGGGAGCCAGCCUUCCCCUGCUCUGCUGUGAGAACCCCAACUCCCGGGCUGUUCAUGCACAACCUCUAGCAUCUUUCAUUGAAGGGAUGCUUACUGCAGUGGA